RNAcentral lists this ribosomal RNA (933 nucleotides) under uncultured archaeon. Its description in RNAcentral is "bacterial SSU rRNA". It matches the Rfam family "Archaeal small subunit ribosomal RNA", at positions 1 to 922 of the family's 1478-position model. The record is from RNAcentral.
UUCCGGUUGAUCCUGCCGGACCCGACUGCUAUUUGGGUGAGGAUAAGCCAUGCGAGUUGAAUGGGAAACCUAAAGUUCCCAUGGCAAACUGCUCAGUAACACAUGAUCAACUUAACCUAUAGAGAAAAAUAACCUCGGGAAACUGAGGAUAAUGUUUCAUAGCUGAAUUGGCUUGGAAAAGUUUUUCGGCGAAAGGGGUAAAAAAAAUGGUUUUUAUCUGCUAUAGGAUAGGAUCGUGUUCGAUUAUGGUUGUUGGUGAGGUAAUGGCUCACCAAGCCGAUAAUCGAUAGGGGCCGUGAGAGCGGGAGCCCCGAGAUGGGUACUGAGACAACGACCCAGGCCUUACGAGGCGCAGCAGGCGCGAAACCUCCGCAAUACACGAAAGUGUGACGGGGUUACCCAAAGUGUUCAAUAGAACUGUGGUAGGUGAGUAAUGUUCCCUACUAGAAAGGAGAGGGCAAGGCUGGUGCCAGCCGCCGCGGUAAAACCAGCUCUUCAAGUGGUCGGGAUAAUUAUUGGGCUUAAAGUGUCCGUAGCCGGUUUAGUAAGUUCCUGGUAAAAUCGGGUAGCUUAACUAUCUAUAUGCUAGGAAUACUACUAUACUAGAGGGCGGGAGAGGUCUGAGGUACUACAGGGGUAGGGGUGAAAUCUUAUAAUCCUUGUUGGACCACCAGUGGCGAAGGCGUCAGACUGGAACGCGCCUGACGGUGAGGGACGAAAGCCAGGGGAGCGAACCGGAUUAGAUACCCGGGUAGUCCUGGCCGUAAACGAUGCAUACUAGGUGAUGGCAUGGCCAUGAGCCGUGUCAGUGCCGUAGGGAAACCGUUAAGUGUGCCGCCUGGGAAGUACGGUCGCAAGGCUAAAACUUAAAGGAAUUGGCGGGGGAGCACCACAAGGGGUGAAGCCUGCGGUUCAAUUGGAUUCAACGCCGGA